UUCCGUAGGUGAACCUGCGGAGGGAUCAUUACUGAGUUUACGCUCUAUAACCCUUUGUGAACAUACCUAUAACUGUUGCUUCGGCGGGUAGGGUCUCCGUGACCCUCCCGGCCUCCCGCCCCCGGGCGGGUCGGCGCCCGCCGGAGGAUAACCAAACUCUGAUUUAACGACGUUUCUUCUGAGUGGUACAAGCAAAUAAUCAAAACUUUUAACAACGGAUCUCUUGGUUCUGGCAUCGAUGAAGAACGCAGCGAAAUGCGAUAAGUAAUGUGAAUUGCAGAAUUCAGUGAAUCAUCGAAUCUUUGAACGCACAUUGCGCCCGCCAGCAUUCUGGCGGGCAUGCCUGUUCGAGCGUCAUUUCAACCCUCAAGCUCUGCUUGGUGUUGGGGCCCUACAGCUGAUGUAGGCCCUCAAAGGUAGUGGCGGACCCUCCCGGAGCCUCCUUUGCGUAGUAACUUUACGUCUCGCACUGGGAUCCGGAGGGACUCUUGCCGUAAAACCCCCAAUUUUCCAAAGGUUGACCUCGGAUCAGGUAGGAAUACCCGCUGAACUUAAGCAUAUCAAUAAGCGGAGGAA
This 576-nucleotide ribosomal RNA is filed under the name Colletotrichum sp. TN1. RNAcentral describes it as "eukaryotic LSU rRNA". The stretch from base 204 to 357 matches the Rfam family "5.8S ribosomal RNA". Lineage: Eukaryota; Fungi; Ascomycota; Sordariomycetes; Glomerellales; Glomerellaceae. The record is from RNAcentral.